This is a long non-coding RNA of Haliotis rubra (blacklip abalone), 99 nucleotides long. RefSeq lists it as uncharacterized. The record is from RefSeq and is a predicted model, not a curated record. NCBI's taxonomy places the organism in Eukaryota, Metazoa, Mollusca, Gastropoda, Lepetellida, Haliotidae. The transcript is spliced from 3 exons.
UAUUUAUAUCGUGACGAGAACAAUUUAUAUAUUAAAGAUAAAUAUAUUUUGGAGAUUAAAACCUGUCGGCGAUGGACAGUAAUAAGCACUUGAUGUCAA